Molecule: ribosomal RNA, 253 nt
Filed under: uncultured bacterium
Lineage: Bacteria
Description: partial 16S ribosomal RNA
Rfam family: Bacterial small subunit ribosomal RNA
Source: RNAcentral
UACAGAGGGUGCGAGCGUUAAUCGGAAUUACUGGGCGUAAAGCGCGCGUAGGCGGCUUUGCAAGUCGGGUGUGAAAUCCCCAGGCUUAACCUGGGAACUGCAUUCGAGACUGCAUUGCUAGAGUAUGGGAGAGGGAAGUGGAAUUUCCGGUGUAGCGGUGAAAUGCGUAGAUAUCUGGAGGAACACCGGUGGCGAAGGCGGCAUCCUGGACCAACAUUGACGCUGAGGAGCGAAAGCUAGGGGAGCAAACGGG